RNAcentral lists this ribosomal RNA (263 nucleotides) under Pseudotetracha australis. RNAcentral's name for it is "partial 16S ribosomal RNA". Lineage: Eukaryota; Metazoa; Arthropoda; Insecta; Coleoptera; Carabidae. The record is from RNAcentral.
UGGUUGGACGAGGUAAUAACUGUCUUUAUUUAAUAAAUAGUAGAAUUUAACUUUUGAGUUAAAAGGCUUAAAUUUAAUUGAUAGACGAGAAGACCCUAUAGAUCUUUAUUUACAGGACUAUAUAUUGGAUUUGGAUAUAUUUAUAAUUUAUAGCUUUGUAAAUUUUAUUGGGGUAAUAUAGAGAUUAACUAAAUUCUUUGAAUAAUUUCAACAAUGAUGAUUGAUAAACUGAUCCAUUAGGAUUGAUUAUAAGAUUAAGUUAC